AAGUCGUAACAAGGUUUCCGUAGGUGAACGAGCAGGAAGGACCAUUAUCGUAGGCUGCGGGCCCUGGUCGAAUAGAACCCUUGCCUUUAUGAGUCCGUCCGUUUCCUCGGCAGGGCCCGCCUGCAUGGACCCAAAACCAAACCCUUUUAUUACCUGUAUCAGUCUGAAAAAUAAACAAAAAUUAAAA
This 187-nucleotide unclassified non-coding RNA is filed under the name plant metagenome. RNAcentral describes it as "partial contains small subunit ribosomal RNA and internal transcribed spacer 1". The record is from RNAcentral.